This 253-nucleotide ribosomal RNA is filed under the name uncultured bacterium. RNAcentral describes it as "partial 16S ribosomal RNA". It matches the Rfam family "Bacterial small subunit ribosomal RNA", at positions 524 to 776 of the family's 1533-position model. The record is from RNAcentral.
UACGUAGGGGGCUAGCGUUGUCCGGAAUCAUUGGGCGUAAAGCGCGUGUAGGCGGUUCGGUAAGUCCGCUGUGAAAGUCGGGGGCUCAACCCUCGAAUGCCGGUGGAUACUGUCGGACUAGAGUACGGAAGAGGCGAGUGGAAUUCCUGGUGUAGCGGUGGAGUGCGCAGAUAUCAGGAAGAACACCAACGGCGAAGGCAGCUCGCUGGGACGGUACUGACGCUGAGACGCGAAAGCGUGGGGAGCGAACAGG